RNAcentral lists this ribosomal RNA (497 nucleotides) under uncultured bacterium. RNAcentral's name for it is "partial 16S ribosomal RNA". It matches the Rfam family "Bacterial small subunit ribosomal RNA", at positions 28 to 507 of the family's 1533-position model. The record is from RNAcentral.
GAUGAACGCUGGCGGCGUGCCUAAUACAUGCAAGUCGAGCGAACAGACGAGGAGCUUGCUCCUCUGACGUUAGCGGCGGACGGGUGAGUAACACGUGUAUAACCUACCUAUAAGACUGGGAUAACUUCGGGAAACCGGAGCUAAUACCGGAUAAUAUAUUGAACCGCAUGGUUCAAUAGUGAAAGACGGUUUUGCUGUCACUUAUAGAUGGAUCCGCGCCGCAUUAGCUAGUUGGUAAGGUAACGGCUUACCAAGGCAACGAUGCGUAGCCGACCUGAGAGGGUGAUCGGCCACACUGGAACUGAGACGCGGUCCAGACUCCUACGGGAGGCAGCAGUAGGGAAUCUUACGCAAUGGGCGAAAGCCUGACGGAGCAACGCCGCGUGAGUGAUGAAGGUCUUCGGAUCGUAAAACUCUGUUAUUAGGGAAGAACAAAUGUGUAAGUAACUAUGCACGUCUUGACGGUACCUAAUAAGAAAGCCACGGCUAACUACGUG